Long non-coding RNA from Stomoxys calcitrans (stable fly), 507 nucleotides. RefSeq lists it as uncharacterized. Lineage: Eukaryota; Metazoa; Arthropoda; Insecta; Diptera; Muscidae. The record is from RefSeq and is a predicted model, not a curated record. The transcript is spliced from 2 exons.
UCUGCAAUGUAAAAUUUCACUUUGUAGAGGUGGUGCCUAACGGAUCACAGUGUUGAUGCCCCUAUUAAAAUAAACAAGGAACAACAGAAGAUCGCGAAUAACUUGCGAAUGUUCAUAUCCGCAAAAUUUGUGGUGUGUGGCCUAAUUUGCAACCCUAGCGUCAUCUACUAGCGGGCGGAUAGAAGGUAGCCAGCGCCACCUGAUGGUUAGAAUUCGCCUCCUGCCAAUGAAAGAAACAGCAAGCGGACACGAAGUGACAACUGUGGCUACCACCAUAUGUUUUGUUGGUGCCCGCUGGAAUCCAAAUUUGAUGAUGGAGGCGAAUCCAAGCCAAGCCGGCCGUUGACCCAAAGGAGCGUCUUUAUUUUUCGAUUGGGACUUGGCUGCUAAUGGAGGUGGAGUUCAGCGAAAGACAAGAGGAAAAAAACAGCAGAAAAAAAUGUUAUGAAUUUGUUUUAUUGAACUUUGUUUUUUUGAAAUGAAAAUGAAUGUGAUACAAAAUGUAAA